GCAUACGCAUGCAACACGGCGACAGACGACCUCGCUCCGUUUCUCUCGGCCGAGCGUGCACCCCAUCUGUCGUCGUCGCCCGCAACUAAUCGCGCCUGCUUCAUCUCGGCGCGUCCGCUCGAAACUGCUUCAAAUGGAAUACGAAACGCAUGGAAGAGUGCAGCGUGCGUCGUGAACGAAAUGUAGGCGUAAAAAACGCUAAAGCUAGCGCUCUCCAGCUUGACAACUUGACGUUAUCAAACGCGCGCUUCCUGUCGCGCUUCCUGAUUAAAAAGAAUGGACAAUUUUUAAACGAGUAUCGCGACUUUUUAUAUACAAUAUACCUCCGACGCGCACUCGUAUCUCGCACAUCGUAACUCGUAUCUUUCGUGCGAUUAAAGCAACAGAUAAUAUUGAUUCUUUCUCGCGCAGGAUUUUUUUAAAUAGUAUACGAAAUAUCUGUAUUCUUCUUUCGCAUACGUUGCAUCUUGCAAUUUUUUCCUCUCUGCCUUUAAGUUUUCUAAAUGUUAUAUGUUAUUAUUGCAUGUACCAAUUAAAAGAGAUCAGUUUAUAUAACGAAUGAAAUAUUUAAAUGGUUAUUUAUGAACAAAUGCUUGAUUAGUCAGAAAAAAGGCAGCGACAGAGAAAACUACUUCAUUGAGCCGCGUUGUGAACCCAUAUAAUCACACGGGAUUGAUCGAGAGCGACAUUUUUCUUUAAAGUCGCGACAAAAUGCGCGUUUUCAAAGCCACGUAAAAAAUCAACCGUUUCCUCACUUUCUCAAUAUCUUUCGGAAUAUCACGCGUCAUCACUAAUGAAUGCGCGAGCGCGACAUCGCGCCCGGAUUCCCGCCUGGGCGGUCACCUCCGACAUUGCGCAGCCUCGUCCGAAAGAACAACGCGAUGGAAAUCAAGGUCGCUCGCUUUCACCACGACCUUUCACCUUUUCGGCUCGCUUGUUGGUCGAUACGCUGACGGAGGACGAAAGAUUCGUGUCUUAUCUCCUGCCCGAGAUUCUCGAGGCAUUCUCCUUGACGUAUCCGAUACGCCUUAUCGACGCUUUUCUAUACGGCUAGGACUUUGUUCAAUGUCGAUCGGGAGAAAAGACUGCAGAGAUAAGGACAUUUAUACAUACGAAUUGUACAACGCGCAGGUUAUAUCUAUAUAGAUGUGUACGCGAAAGAGAUGACUUUUCUCAGCGUCGAUACCGGUCGACUGGAUCACGUAGGUGUGCGAACGAGGCACGAUGACGAGGAAAAGGAAAAUUACACGUGCAACAGGAGAGGCCGGCAGGGCGGGAGGGAUCGAUAAGAGAAAUCGAACCGAGCGUGCUACGUGGAAUUGUGAAAGUGAAGGUACGUCGCUAUUACCACCGUCGCCGCCGCCGCCGCCGCCGCCACAGCAGGAGCAACAACUUUCGACACAGGUCAUUUGGGCUCGAUGAAUACCUGUUGCUCGUUGGUAGUCGACCGACCGAUUGUUCCCUCCCUCACACAUUGUGCCGGAACGGAGAGUGACGUAGGCCACUAUCAAAGGAUUUGAAGGGGAAACGACGAUAAACACGACGUACAAUAGGGAGAUACACCAUCCAUCCAUCCAUCCAUCGUUUUACAUUUGUUCAGAAGUGUCAAAUAUCGGCUGUCGGCGAGAAUGGAGCGUCAGAGGAAGAAGCUGGCUGAGUACAAUCAGGAACAUCUGCUUAGAUUCUGGGAGGAGCUGACAGACGAGGACAGGCAUCACCUGGAAAAUGACAUUGAUGAAUUGAAUCUACAAGAGAUUACUUUAUAUUUUAAAAAAGCACUAGAAUCCUCCCAAUGCAUUGGCAAAGGUACGCUGGAUGACAAAGUACAGCCUAUAGAUGAAAAAAAGAUUGCUUCUGCCAAAACAUCCACAAAGGAAGAGCUGAGAAUGUAUGAGGAACUUGGCCUAAAAGAAGUUGCUGAAAGUCGUGUAGCGGUAUUGUUGAUGUCGGGUGGUCAAGGCACACGUUUAGGAGUGACUUAUCCUAAAGGGAUAUAUGAUAUUGACUUACCAUCGCAUAAAACUCUCUUCCAAUUGCAGGCAGAGAGGAUACUACGUUUGCAGAAUAUUGCAGAACAACAGUGUGGAAAAUAUGGAGAGAUAACUUGGUAUAUUCUUACCAGUGAAGCCACUCAUGAUGCUACUGUCACCUAUCUUAGCAAGCACAACUACUUUGGCUUGAAAGAAAAAAAUGUCAAAGCUUUCAAGCAAGGUAUGUUACCAUGUUUCACCUUUGAUGGCAAGAUUAUAUUGGAUGCGAAGCAUCGCAUUUCCAAAGCACCCGAUGGCAAUGGAGGAUUGUAUCGUGCACUGGAAAAUCAAGGAAUAUUGGAUGAUAUGAUGCAACGUGGGAUUCGGAGUAUACAUGCACAUUCCGUGGAUAAUAUCUUGGUGAAAGUAGCAGAUCCUAUAUUUCUAGGCUAUUGUUUAGUUUCUGAAACAGAUUGUGGGGUUAAAGUGAUUGAGAAAUCUUCUCCCUCUGAAGCAGUGGGUGUAGUUUGCAAGGUAGAGGACCACUAUCAAGUAGUUGAAUACAGUGAGAUCACAAAGGAUACUGCGGAACUUUGUCAUGCUGAUGGACAAUUGGUGUAUAAUGCUGCCAAUAUAUGCAACCACUACUUUACAGUCAAUUUCCUGAAGGACGUUGGAUACUUUCACGAAAAAGAUUUGGAUUUGCAUGUCGCAAAGAAAAAAAUUCCAUACAUUAAUGACGAGGGAGAGAGAAUCACUCCAAAAAGCCCGAACGGUAUCAAAAUAGAGAAAUUCGUGUUCGAUGUAUUUCGUUUUUCGAAGAACUUUGCGGUAUGGCAGGGCACUCGCGACGAAGAAUUUAGCCCGUUGAAAAACUCCAACUCCGCCGGUCAAGAUUGCCCGAGUACCGCGCGUAGCGACCUGCUAAAUUUGCAUAAGAAGUGGUUGCUAAACGCGGGUGCGAAGAACGUCGGUAACGAUGUCGAGAUUUCUCCGUUGCUAUCAUAUGCAGGCGAGAAUCUAAACCAGAUCGCAAACAAGCAGUCUUUCGUGGGACCACAAAUUCUCGAAUAACCGACAUUAACCUGAUAACGAGAUAUCUUGGAAAACAAGUAUCAAGAAUGUUUAUCUCUCUGUGAUGAAGUACGAUUAAACGUUGGGAGAAACCGGAAAUUGACGAGAGAUAUAAUUCGUCUUGGUAUGUAUCUCUUACGAAUUUCCAGUUUUACAUUCGCGAACGGAAUAUAUGGCCUAUAUGUAUGUCGCAGUGAAAGCGAUUAAUUUGGUGAUUCCGUAAAAUUUCUGACGAUUCUACAAAGUACAAUAAUAUUCUACAAAAUUGUAUUUUGUAGAAUCGUUUAUGUGAUUUUACAAAAAUGCCAGUUAAUUACUUUCAUUGUAAUAUCGUUCGUUAUGUCAGUAAUAACAUUAUAUAAUUUUUAUACCAGUGCUUUUGAAACUUAUACAUAUGAUAUCUUUUGAUAUCGUUAAGUAGUAUUGUUAGUACUCGCACUUACAAUGACUGGACUGGAACUCCAGUUAUUGUAUGAAUCAGGCAAAAUGUGUAAGUAAAAAUUGUACAAUAUACAUAUGCACAUUAUUGUGCAUUGAGUAUGAUUUGGCUGUAAUUUGAUUGUAAGUACUUUGAAAAUACAUCAUUUUUUUAUAAGCUGUUAUGAUAUAUAUGUUGAAUAAAAGUCAUGAGCAUACAA
This 3682-nucleotide unclassified non-coding RNA is filed under the name Harpegnathos saltator (Jerdon's jumping ant). RNAcentral's name for it is "uDP-N-acetylhexosamine pyrophosphorylase, transcript variant X1". The record is from RNAcentral. Lineage: Eukaryota; Metazoa; Arthropoda; Insecta; Hymenoptera; Formicidae.